CAGCCGCCGCGGUAAUACAGAGGGUUCAAGCGUUAAUCGGAAUUACUGGGCGUAAAGCGCGCGUAGGUGGUUUGUUAAGUUGGAUGUGAAAGCCCCGGGCUCAACCUGGGAACUGCAUCCAAAACUGGCAAGCUAGAGUACGGUAGAGGGUGGUGGAAUUUCCUGUGUAGCGGUGAAAUGCGUAGAUAUAGGAAGGAACACCAGUGGCGAAGGCGACCACCUGGACUGAUACUGACACUGAGGUGCGAAAGCGUGGGGAGCAAACAGGAUUAGAUACCCCGGUAGUCCCUGUCUCUUAUAA
This 301-nucleotide ribosomal RNA is filed under the name uncultured bacterium. RNAcentral describes it as "partial 16S ribosomal RNA". It matches the Rfam family "Bacterial small subunit ribosomal RNA", at positions 509 to 809 of the family's 1533-position model. The record is from RNAcentral.